RNAcentral lists this ribosomal RNA (500 nucleotides) under uncultured Glomeromycotina. RNAcentral's name for it is "partial small subunit ribosomal RNA". It matches the Rfam family "Eukaryotic small subunit ribosomal RNA", at positions 591 to 1092 of the family's 1831-position model. The record is from RNAcentral. Lineage: Eukaryota; Fungi; Glomeromycota.
CCAAUAGCGUAUAUUAAAGUUGUUGCAGUUAAAAAGCUCGUAGUUGAAUUUCGGGGUCAGUAGGUUGGUCAUGCCACUGGUAUGUACUGGUCUCACUGAUUCCUCCUUCCUGAUGAGCCGUAAUGCCAUUAAUUUGGUGUUGCGAGGAAUCUGGACUGUUACUUUGAAAAAAUUAGAGUGUUUAAAGCAGGCUAACGCUUGAAUACAUUAGCAUGGAAUAAUGAAAUAGGACGUUUGAUUCUAUUUUGUUGGUUUCUAGGAUCGACGUAAUGAUUAAUAGGGAUAGUUGGGGGCAUUAGUAUUCAAUUGUCAGAGGUGAAAUUCUUGGAUUUAUUGAAGACUAACUACUGCGAAAGCAUUUGCCAAGGAUGUUUUCAUUAAUCAAGAACGAAAGUUAGGGGAUCGAAGACGAUCAGAUACCGUCGUAGUCUUAACCAUAAACUAUGCCGACUAGGGAUCGGAUGAUGUUAAUUUUUUAAUGACUCAUUCGGCGCCUUACG